RNAcentral lists this ribosomal RNA (301 nucleotides) under uncultured bacterium. RNAcentral describes it as "partial 16S ribosomal RNA". It matches the Rfam family "Bacterial small subunit ribosomal RNA", at positions 509 to 807 of the family's 1533-position model. The record is from RNAcentral.
CAGUCGCCGCGGGAACACGUAGGGUGCAAGCGUUAAUCGGAAUUACUGGGCGUAAAGCGUGCGCAGGCGGUUAUAUAAGACAGAUGUGAAAUCCCCGGGCUCAACCUGGGAACUGCAUUUGUGACUGUAUAGCUAGAGUACGGCAGAGGGGGAUGGAAUUCCGCGUGUAGCAGUGAAAUGCGUAGAUAUGCGGAGGAACACCGAUGGCGAAGGCAAUCCCCUGGGCCUGUACUGACGCUCAUGCACGAAAGCGUGGGGAGCAAACAGGAUUAGAUACCCGCGUAGUCCCUGUCUCUUAUAC